Crocodylus porosus (Australian saltwater crocodile) is the source of this 2153-nucleotide long non-coding RNA. Lineage: Eukaryota; Metazoa; Chordata; Crocodylia; Crocodylidae. The record is from Ensembl.
GCAUCACAAACCCCGGCUAGUCACCCUUGGAUCUGAGCAGCGUUAUUGCCCUUGCUCAUCCCCGUUAACACCUGUUUUGAUUCAUGGCAUUUUGUUCUGGUCCAAGGAGUCCUUUGAAAACGUUUGUUCGUGCCUGAUCCUUGCAUCUUACCCAAAAGCACAGUGCAUCAAGCUCAUUUUCAUUUAGUAAAUCAGGGCAUAAAAGCUUAAUGUGUCUCCCACCUUUAGCUCCCAACUUAAGCUACUGAUCAAAUACAUUCUUAUUAGCUGGAACAGUGACUAUCUUCACUAGGAAACUGAAGUAGGUUCUUAACUCAGUAAGACCCUUGCAGAGAUAGGAAAUAGGGUGCUUUAGUUAUUUCUGUAAGGCAAGUUUAAUCACAGACAGAGUAAAAACUAAACUACCUUACUCCAGCAGAAUUUUCCAGCAGGACAGCUAGCACAAGGUGGUAUCCCACUUUUUUUUUUUUUUUUUUUAAGGAAAGCAGAGCCUUUGUAAUGAAGAUGAUCUUGUUGUCAUUGCAAUAUCACAAGAACUUCUUACUUUGCAAUAUCCUGUCAUGAUUUCAUAUGCAACUAUGCAUGAUUUUUUUUCUGGGAAUCUUUCAUCUGCAGUGUAAUGGAGUCGUCAACCCUGCUUUCCAAGUGCCUGACAUAGCAUUCAGGUUAUGAUUGUGCUGUCAAGCACAGAAAUAAAUCUCAUGGUCAGCUUCCCAAUCAAAUUUAUAACUCAGUUAUCUUCAGUUCACUCAGACAGUAUUGUAGCAAGUAUUUAAAAAAGUAAAAAGAGCAAGAGAGAGAGGGAAAGAGAUGAACUGGAUAGGAUAAGAUGCAAAUACGCUCGCUCACUCGCUUGUUCACUCUUUAUAAUUAUUUUCUAGAGAAAAAUAAUCCUUGAUUUAGCUAUAGGUACCAGAAAACAGUUCCCUUCCAGAGCACUGGGAGAAACAGCAAGUUAAUGCUAUUGACACGCAUACGCCUUCAUAGUGGAAGAUGCAGAUUGGUGGUUUGGGUGUACAGUUUCAGCUCUAACUGGUCUCUGAUACUCUGGAGGAAGUCUUGGGGAGAGGGAGGAUGCAGAAACAGAAUACGUUUGGUUGAUUCAGGAGGAAAAAAUAUUUCUGAGCCCUGCAGGCAACUGAUGAGAUCCUAAAGUCAUGACCAGGUGCCUCUUUAAAUAUUGUACAUAUCAACACAACGAAUUACUAUGUUUUAAUACAAUGCACACCUUUUUAAAACUGCUGGAAAAUGGAGUGCACAUUAUAUGCAAGGAAAGAUGGUAACACUAAUUUCUCUACUUAAAUAUCAGCAGGGCAAAAGCAAAAUAAGAUCUGCGUGGAAUCCACAGGAAGCAGGACUAUGAGCAGGCUCAGCUCCCUCACUGCUGCUACUCAGUAACUACAAAGACUGUAAUACCUUGUUCUGGGGCAUGUUGUACGUGAGACUAUAUGGUAGCACCCUAAAAUAAUAACAGCGGCCUGUUUCAACCUUGCCUGUAGCAAGGGCUCCUGCAGCAGCACCGUAUUGUUGCUUUUCUGCUGGCGUUUUGUGCGUUGGGGAUGUGACAUAAUGGGUACUUGUUUGUGUGCCUCCAAAGGAAACGAGUUCUUGGCAAAAACAGCAUGUUUUGCAAAAGCCCUGAGCCAUCAUUCUGACACCACAUGAGUGUUGUGACAUCCCCAGCAUGAGGAGGAAGAGAUGCAGCCGCUUCUUGGAAAAAGCUGCUGGGUUGGCAAAGGGAAGCUCUGACAUGAAUUUUUCUCUCUGGUGCAACAGUGUUUGUUGUAAUCAGCACACAAGACAUGACCAAUAGUCUGUGGGGUGGGAGCAGGGCAUCACUGUUUCCUGGAGGGACAGACUUGUCUCUAAUCUCCUAAAACCGCUAGGGUAACAGCUGGACCCGGCGAGCCUCACUACAGUGUCUUACUAGCUCUGUCCUCUUCUAAGCUACAUGCACUUUGUAUCUGGCAAUGAGGUAGAAAUUCCCACCCGGGGAUCUCUGCAACUCGAGUGGCUUUUCAUUGCUUACUAUGUUGCAAUCAAAGCUGUGCUCCCUGCUUUGAGUUGUGACAUGUUCAUUGUCCCUCUUCACUGAGGUGCCCUGUUAGCCUCUCCGCUUCCCCUGUCAGGUCCCCCCACACACCAGGAAAGCU